AGCCUGAUCGUUGUUUAAACAAUUGAAAAAUAGAAAUUAUCAUAUCAAGAUAGGGAGACAUAGAAGGAUCACAGCAUCCUCUUCUUCUUGAUAUUGAUUGCAGCAUGUAAAUCAGCAUCAGUGACAUUUAUGACAUUGUAUAUAUAGGAGAUCUGGCCAAAAUAGAGAGAGGAAUUUGUUUGAUGCCUAUCAAAAACUUUAAAAAUGAUUGUAAAUUCACUGGAAAAGAAUGAGCUGAAGGGUUAAAAAUGAAAAUAACAGUUCAUGGCAGUAGGUUAAGCUGGUGAUGAAUUAUCCAUAUAGUAUCAUAGGGAUUGUUCUCAUUGCAUGUCAUUAUUGAUUCAAUGGAAAAGGAUAUCAAGACUACAGUAAUGAGGUUUGGAAACUGAAAUAACCAUGAAGGAGGCCAGUAGUAAUAAUAAAGUCCACACUAAAAAGUAAGGAAUAUGAAUGGGAAUUAUUACACUGAGAUUCAGUAUGAAAAAAUGCAACCUAAGGUACCUAAGGAAUCUAGAAUUUAUGGCUAUUAGCAAAAGUGAAAGGAAAUAAUGAUGGACAGUGGUUUAAGAUGUCUGUAAUAUCAUCUAGUGCCUAAAAAAUAUGUUUCAGGGAUAGACACUCAUAGAAGAAGGUAGUAAAGGGCAGCAGGGGCUGAGUUACAAGUCAGCUUGGAGAGCUAAGCCUACCUGCGGCUCUGACAAGUGAACCUGCACUACUGGAAGUGGUUUAGGAACAUAAGAAUUCCCAGCCCAUCAGGAGGAGAGCUUAAUAGAAGGCAGGCGUUGUGGCACUGCAGCAGAGUGAGCAGCACACAGCCUCCCCCAGGACCAGCCCCCCAGCUCUCCACCAUCUGUGCAGCUCUGACUUCCACAGUGUGUCCUUCAAUCCCAGGAGUGAUUUGUGACAGGGAAGUCAUCCUGGAAGAUCGAUAGACCUGCUGCACACUUGAGCCAGUUGUUUUGUCUUCAUUAGGAAGGAUCCAAGUUCACUGAGCUCACCUAUGCUAGGAUUUUGGCAAAUAAACUUGUUACCACAUAGCCA
RNAcentral lists this long non-coding RNA (1041 nucleotides) under Cyanistes caeruleus (blue tit). Its description in RNAcentral is "lncRNA (ENSCCEG00000016280.1)". The record is from RNAcentral. Lineage: Eukaryota; Metazoa; Chordata; Aves; Passeriformes; Paridae.